This 253-nucleotide ribosomal RNA is filed under the name uncultured bacterium. RNAcentral describes it as "partial 16S ribosomal RNA". It matches the Rfam family "Bacterial small subunit ribosomal RNA", at positions 524 to 776 of the family's 1533-position model. The record is from RNAcentral.
UACGAAGGGGGCUAGCGUUGCUCGGAAUCACUGGGCGUAAAGGGUGCGUAGGCGGGUCUUUAAGUCAGGGGUGAAAUCCUGGAGCUCAACUCCAGAACUGCCUUUGAUACUGAGGAUCUUGAGUUCGGGAGAGGUGAGUGGAACUGCGAGUGUAGAGGUGAAAUUCGUAGAUAUUCGCAAGAACACCGGUGGCGAAGGCGGCUCACUGGCUCGUAUCUGACGCUCAGGCGCGACAGCGUGGGGAUCAAACAGG